GGAGAGUGGGGUGAUUGGUGCCAGUGGGGAAGUUGUGCCACCCCCUAUUUCUAGGAAACCAUAGAAGAAAUUGGUCAUGUGACCACACAUUUUUGAAGACUCAGCCAUUUCAAUCAUCCUGCAGAGAAGAGAGCCUCAUUGCAUGAGAGGUAUGACUUCCCUCCACACAAGAUCUACAACAUGGAUGAAACUGGUGUGACAAUGGAAAAUGACCUUUGAUGUGCUCAUGUGGCGCAAUAGGCUUGUAGAAACUUGGCCUUUGAUGUUGUAAAAUAACUUUAAAUAAACCUUAAAUGAGUAAUUUUGUAUUGAA
This is a long non-coding RNA of Alosa sapidissima (American shad), 313 nucleotides long. RefSeq lists it as uncharacterized. Lineage: Eukaryota; Metazoa; Chordata; Actinopteri; Clupeiformes; Clupeidae. The transcript has 2 exons. The record is from RefSeq and is a predicted model, not a curated record.